This 43-nucleotide ribosomal RNA is filed under the name uncultured Glomus. RNAcentral's name for it is "partial 28S ribosomal RNA". The record is from RNAcentral. Lineage: Eukaryota; Fungi; Glomeromycota; Glomeromycetes; Glomerales; Glomeraceae.
GGUAAAAUACCCGCUGAACUUAAGCAUAUCAAUAAGCGGAGGA